CGGACAUUUAAAUCAUUUAUCAUUGUCAUCAUCCACCAUUUUGUUCCUUAAUCUCAAUUCCGCACUUGUUUGACUCCCAGACCAAGAGGAUCGCGGCGGCGGCGUGUGAAACACAAUACAGUGCUUUGCGACGCAGAGUGACUGGCACAACAUGUCAACUGAUAGACAGUGCGGAGAUAGUUUAUGAGUUGUAGAGACGCAGAAUGUCUCGGAAGUUGCUCUCUUUCUAUUCCUCUUCU
This is a non-coding RNA of Caenorhabditis elegans, 239 nucleotides long. Lineage: Eukaryota; Metazoa; Nematoda; Chromadorea; Rhabditida; Rhabditidae. The record is from Ensembl.